Long non-coding RNA from Argentina anserina (silverweed cinquefoil), 198 nucleotides. RefSeq lists it as uncharacterized. NCBI's taxonomy places the organism in Eukaryota, Viridiplantae, Streptophyta, Magnoliopsida, Rosales, Rosaceae. The transcript is spliced from 3 exons. The record is from RefSeq and is a predicted model, not a curated record.
GAUUAUUUCACUCUUCGACAUGGAUUCGUAACGGCUCAUUUUGCAGAAAGAAGCAAUUUUUACUUCCACAAAUAUAUCAGAAGAGCUCUGGAGAAAGAUUAUGGUGUAGUUAUGAGUACAAGCUGGUGGAUUUGGAUGUACUCAGUCUUCAUUAUAUUUUUGAAUGCACAUGGUAACAUGCUCUGAAUCCACUUAUUU